CACGUAGGUGGCAAGCGUUGUCCGGAAUUACUGGGUGUAAAGGGUGCGUAGGCGGGAUGGCAAGUCAGGUGUGAAAACGAUCGGCUCAACCGGUCGCGUGCACUUGAAACUGCGAUUCUUGAGUGGUGGAGAGGUAAGCGGAAUUCCUAGUGUAGCGGUGAAAUGCGUAGAUAUUAGGAGGAACACCAGUGGCGAAGGCGGCUUACUGGACACUAACUGACGCUGAGGCACGAAAGCAUGGGGAGCAAACAGG
RNAcentral lists this ribosomal RNA (253 nucleotides) under uncultured bacterium. RNAcentral describes it as "partial 16S ribosomal RNA". It matches the Rfam family "Bacterial small subunit ribosomal RNA", at positions 524 to 776 of the family's 1533-position model. The record is from RNAcentral.